Long non-coding RNA from Panicum hallii, 2091 nucleotides. RefSeq lists it as uncharacterized. The transcript has 2 exons. Lineage: Eukaryota; Viridiplantae; Streptophyta; Magnoliopsida; Poales; Poaceae. The record is from RefSeq and is a predicted model, not a curated record.
CGGCUCCUCGAUCCCAUCUCUUUCCUUUUGCACGCCACCCUUUCCCUCCCCUUCCAUCCGCACCGUCGCUCCCUGCCUAGCCCAGCGAGGCGACGCCCCACGAGCUCGGCCACAAGUCCGACGGCGAAACCAUCGAGUGGCUGCUGCAGCAGGCGGAGCCCGCCAUCCUCGCGGCCACCGGCACCGGAACCAUGCCGGCCAACUACUCCUCGCUCAACAUCUCCAUCCGCCCGGGAGAGCCGCCGCCGCCGCUAACCCUACCCGCGCCGCGCCGUUCCCGGCGCUCGCGCUCCACCCGCACCACCACCAGGCGCCCCCCGCGCCGCACGACAUGCCCGCCAUGAUGGGCUACCACCACAACCUCCUCCAGCCACAGCAACAGGACCCCAGCGCCGGCGACGCCAACAUGCGGAAGCGCUACAGGGAGGACCUUUUCAAGGAGGAUGACGACCGCCAAGAUCUGAGCGCGCCCAAGGCGCGCGAGCAGCAGACGGCGGCGAGGCUGAUUUAGAUCUCAUCCUCGUCGUCUCUUUCCUCCAUCGGCUGUCCCGCAGCCCGAUGCCGCCGGUGGCUGCCGCCCGUUCGGGAGCGCCGCGCCUCUACCUGAAGACCCACGGGACCAGGGUCGCGAGGCUGCACCUGCUCGACUGGGUCGUGCUGGCCCUCCUCGUCGCCCUCGACGGCACGCUCAACGCCAUCGAGCCUUUCCACCGGUUCGUCUCCGGUACCCGCUCAAUGACAACACAAUGCCCGUCUGGGAUGUGCCGGUGCUCGCCGUCAUCGCGCCGGUGGCCAUCAUCGCCGGGAUAUACGUGAGGAGGAAGAGAGGUACUCCAGUGCGGUGCUUUUGAUAGUGGAAGUGAUCUCGAUAAAAUCCCAGUGGAAGUGAUCUCGAUAAAAUAGAAGCAAGCACUUUAUCCUUCUUUUUAAGAGUAUAAAGAAGAAUAAACUGCUUACUUCUACCUGUCCAGUGCCGUGCUUUUGAUAGUUCAACAUUAACGCAAGUCAAAUAUUAGCACUAUAGUAUUCUUAUGAAGUAAAUGGUGGUAGCAUCUAUUAAAUGGUUUAGUGAUUGUUUAAAAUCUGGUACCCUGAUAAUUUCUAUUACCCCUUUUUACUGUAGUUUCAGCAUAUAUGUAUGUCUGCAUUUGUGAUGACUUGAUUUUCUUGGCAUCCAAGUAUCCAACUGGUAUUAAGAAGGUGAACUGCUGUAGUUGACAGAGAGAGAAAUGUGUUUUUUCAGUACCAAGAACUCGUUCUAGGAUGGUCUCUUUAUAUGCUCAUGGUCAUGGACAACAUACUGGUUCCCUAUUCUUUUCAGCACAAUAUUCUGUUGCAAGAUACAGUGCUAUUUCUCGUAGAAGCCAUAAUGCAUUCUUUGUACUAAUGCAAGAUGUAACAGUAAUAAUAAAUACAUGACAUUUUAUGUCUGAAAGAAAAUUCAAUCAUAAAGGAAUCAGUUGGGUAUGGCAUCAAUUUGAAAUGAUCACUAUUAGUGAAUGCAAAAUAUGUGCAAAUCAAUGUAAUUUUUUUUGCUUUUAUGCUAUAACUUGCAUCAUGUAAAUAAGCAUGACAAAGUGGACAUGGCAUGAUCCAUUAUCCAUUUUUUAAAUACAAAUUCAAAAUGUUUACUUUGCAGCUUGGCUACCAUUUCUUAUGUGAUCUAUAGAAUUGUGAAUAUGUUCAUGCUUAUCGGUGUCAAGUGGUAAUGGGAAAACACUUAAAUUAUUGUGUGUCAAAUGAGAGAUUUUUAGAUGAAUAAAGUUUUAUGCUAGCCAAGUAAAUGGUGUCUAGGUUCCCACCAUACAUUUAGUUAAAAGAAGCUACAAGAUUUAAUAUGCAGGAUGGUUGGUACGUUCCCGAGAUCGUUUUGUACACUAUGUAAUGCUUAACAAUUGAGACCGAUUUGGAGUUUGGAACACAUCUAUUGGUUGAUAGCUAUUUUUUCCAUGAACAUUAGUUUGGCAGUAUUUAUUCUAAUAUAUUCUAGGGUAUGAAAUGUAAAUGAAGAGUUUUAUGGUGCUGGAGUUUGGAGCUGUAUGAUGUAUUUGAGAGAUGAAAUGAUAAAAUUGUUGCUUUUUUAUGUGCUUA